UUACGGUCAAAUCACGCUGAAACACCGGUUCUCGUACGAUCACCGAAGUUAAGCAGCGUAGAGCCAGGUCAGUACUUAGAUGGGGGACCGCUUGGGAACACCUGGAACUGUAAG
This 114-nucleotide ribosomal RNA is filed under the name Acanthosepion pharaonis. The record is from RNAcentral. Lineage: Eukaryota; Metazoa; Mollusca; Cephalopoda; Sepiida; Sepiidae.